GAUUUCCGCGGCUGAAACGCCGCGGCCCCAUUGAAGC
Candidatus Nitrospira inopinata is the source of this 37-nucleotide non-coding RNA. NCBI's taxonomy places the organism in Bacteria, Pseudomonadati, Nitrospirota, Nitrospiria, Nitrospirales, Nitrospiraceae. The record is from Rfam.